This 785-nucleotide ribosomal RNA is filed under the name uncultured bacterium. Its description in RNAcentral is "bacterial SSU rRNA". It matches the Rfam family "Bacterial small subunit ribosomal RNA", at positions 8 to 794 of the family's 1533-position model. The record is from RNAcentral.
AGAGUUUGAUCCUGGCUCAGGAUGAACGCUAGCGGCAGGCCUAACACAUGCAAGUCGAGGGGUAGAACACUUCGGUGUUUGAGACCGGCGCACGGGUGCGUAACGCGUAUGCAAUCUACCUUAUACAGGGGAAUAGCCCAGAGAAAUUUGGAUUAAUGCCCCAUAGUGUUAUAGAAUCGCAUGGUUUUAUAACUAAAGUUCCAACGGUAUAAGAUGAGCAUGCGUCCCAUUAGUUAGUUGGUAAGGUAACGGCUUACCAAGACAAUGAUGGGUAGGGGUCCUGAGAGGGAGAUCCCCCACACUGGUACUGAGACACGGACCAGACUCCUACGGGAGGCAGCAGUGAGGAAUAUUGGUCAAUGGGCGCAAGCCUGAACCAGCCAUGCCGCGUGCAGGAAGAAGCAUCUAUGGUGUGUAAACUGCUUUUAUACAGGAAGAAACACCUCCACGUGUGGAGGCUUGACGGUACUGUAGGAAUAAGGAUCGGCUAACUCCGUGCCAGCAGCCGCGGUAAUACGGAGGAUCCAAGCGUUAUCCGGAAUCAUUGGGUUUAAAGGGUCCGUAGGCGGUCUUAUAAGUCAGUGGUGAAAGCCCAUCGCUCAACGAUGGAACUGCCAUUGAUACUGUAAGACUUGAAUUUUUGUGAAGUAACUAGAAUAUGUAGUGUAGCGGUGAAAUGCUUAGAUAUUACAUGGAAUACCAAUUGCGAAGGCAGGUUACUAACAAACGAUUGACGCUGAUGGACGAAAGCGUGGGGAGCGGACAGGAUUAGAUACCCUGGUAGU